Molecule: long non-coding RNA, 1068 nt
Filed under: Gallus gallus (chicken)
Lineage: Eukaryota; Metazoa; Chordata; Aves; Galliformes; Phasianidae
Description: lncRNA (ENSGALG00000050925.1)
Source: RNAcentral
ACACAAAUCUCACAGCCAGUCUCCUAUAAGCCAAGGGUACGUCUUUCAAGGCUUUCAGUUUUGUUAUUUCAUUUUAUUUUAUUUUUUAUCCCUGUGUAGCAUCAGAAAUACAAGGAGCAGCUCUCCUGCUGUAACAGCACGUUUGAGGAAAUAAUUCAAACUUCCUAGAGAGAAAAAGCAAAGAGUGCCAUACUUCAUGGUAAACAAACAAGCUCCGUGGUGCUGUUCUAUCAGGCUCCAUGAAACAGAAUUCAGAUCUCUCUGUUUACUCACAGCGUGACCCUGGAGGUUGAGGACAGUUGCAGCUGGAAAGUGAAACUCUGGCGCAUGUUGUAUAAAGACUGGGGAAAUCUCCACCAGAAAUCAGAGCUGGUGGGCAGGCUUCAGAGAAACUCUCCUUCAACCCCAGCGAGCAAUCUUUAGCUUUUCAUGAGUUGAACAGCCUUAGGAGACUUGGGAGAAAGCAUCUGGAAGCAAGACUCAGUCAUGGAGAGCCCAUGGGGAAGGCACAGCGUUGGUGUUGCACACAGGCAGCUGCUGAGUCUCCCCGUAGGAGGUGCUUUGGCCACAGGUCUUACACAACAGUGACUUGAAAUCUGCCUUUUGGCCCCAAGUCUGCUUUUUGGCUGGUGUAUGCUGCAGGACUUUAUGUGCUGAAUGCUGAGCAUUGGAGGGGUUUGGCUGGAGCCGACUUCUCUAUGACUUAAGCACCUCCAGGUCUUGCAUCAUCCCCAGCUUCUUCCAGCAUUGAUUUCCCUUCCAAAAUGACCCAAGGGAUGGCAGCUGCUCCGUGCUGCCCUUUGGGUUUGCAUGGCCUGGGGGGCAGCUGGGGCUCAGGGAGGGGGACAUCUACAGCAUCUCUGCAGCAGGGGGUCAGGAGGAGGGUAGGGGGGAGGGAAUGAGAAGUGGGGAAUUUCCAGGUUGCUGAGCUGGGGAAGAGCACUGGGAUUUGGUGUGCGGGACUCAGUUUCAACUCUGCUUUGUCUCAAACCUCACUUACAUCAACCUAAGGAAUUGUGUAAUGUAAAUACACUGCAAUAAACCAGCACCAGCCUCCUCUAAAGGACC